Molecule: long non-coding RNA, 1152 nt
Organism: Rosa chinensis
Lineage: Eukaryota; Viridiplantae; Streptophyta; Magnoliopsida; Rosales; Rosaceae
Exons: 3
Source: RefSeq, a predicted model, not a curated record
UUGGAUACCCCAAAAUUCUUAAGCUUGAGAACUCUCGAGACCUCGACCCAUUUGUUCAACCAGUAAGCCUGGGACGGUGACCUGGCAUUCCAGCUACCUUUGAUCGACGGACCACCGGCGUUAGGAUCAUCUCGACGUCGCGACCAAGCCUAUGGCUUGGGUUUCGGUUUCCACCUACGAGCUCCAACGAAUCCAAUUCGAAGCCAAGAAGUUUCUUUUGUUCCGGCUGUUUUCUUGAGUUUUCCGGCGACUCCGGUCACCGAUGAUGACAUGCAAGAUUGAGGAUUGAUGAUGGGUAUGUUAAAUUUACAGAACUGGUGAAAAUGAUGGAGAUGGUGAACCACGGGAGAGUUUUCUUCAAUUGGUUGUUCUGUGUCGUAGAGGUGAAGUAGCAGCAGCUCAAAGACAUUCAUUUGAUUUUUGUAAGUAAGAUGAGUUGGAAAUCAUGUUGACAAGGCUUUGGGUUUAUAAGUAAAUUGCAAUUGUUCUUGACAGUAAGCGAAGUCGAGUUGAGGGAGAAGAAGAAUCGGUGCUUCGACGAGUUUUCCUGAAACUGGAAACGUUAAGAUAAUUUCCAGAUCAUAAACGCAAAUACUUGGUAGAGCUAUGAUCAAAACAUGAUUGUUAAUUAGAGUGUGGUGUUUUGUACAUGAUCAAGUCUUGAGACUCGAACCGAUUACGUUGUGAACUUGGUUUUGGUGCCGAAAUAGAAUGAUCACUGUGUAUCGUUGGAGGCACACUGUGGAUUGAACCACUUCUGUACGCGUGGCCACUGAUGCCAGUACUGGCUUCGGUGUUUGGUUUGAUUGCAGCAAGGGAGAGUCUUGUUGGGCUUGAAUCAAAUUGGAAUGAAGAUUGAGUAAUACAAUUCAACUUGAUAAGGUACUGUGUACGAAGACGGGAUAGCUAGACGAUGUUGGGUGUGGCUUAAUUACAUUAUAUUUCAAAUUAUGUCAUCGACGGAGUUUGUUCUACAUGAUAGGUUUCCUUAUUUUCCACUUUCUCGUAAAACUUGUUUGACGAGUUUCGAUUGGUUGUAAAUUAUAUUUCUUGUAAAUUCAUCGUACUUUUGACUUUGAACCGAAUUGCUAUUCUUUAAAGGCUCGCUCCCAAGUUCGAAAAAAAUUUGAUUUCAUAAUUUUCACCUCACUU